RNAcentral lists this transfer RNA (71 nucleotides) under Ictidomys tridecemlineatus (thirteen-lined ground squirrel). RNAcentral describes it as "Spermophilus tridecemlineatus (thirteen-lined ground squirrel) tRNA". It matches the Rfam family "tRNA". Rfam says of the family: Transfer RNA (tRNA) molecules are approximately 80 nucleotides in length. Their secondary structure includes four short double-helical elements and three loops (D, anti-codon, and T loops). The record is from Rfam by way of RNAcentral. Lineage: Eukaryota; Metazoa; Chordata; Mammalia; Rodentia; Sciuridae.
GGGGUUGUGGCUCAGUGGUAGAGUGCUUGCCUAGCAUGCAAGAGGCGCUGGGUUUGAUCCCUGGUACCACA